Alexandromys fortis (reed vole) is the source of this 3113-nucleotide long non-coding RNA. RefSeq lists it as uncharacterized. The transcript has 4 exons. The record is from RefSeq and is a predicted model, not a curated record. NCBI's taxonomy places the organism in Eukaryota, Metazoa, Chordata, Mammalia, Rodentia, Cricetidae.
AACCAGCUUCAUAAAGCUCCUAUUACCUCCACAUACAUGCCAUGGCAUAUAUGUUCUCCCUCCAUAUCACUAAAUAAAUAAAAGUUUCAAAAGGUAGUAUGUCUUUAAAAAGAAAAGCAGAAAUAGCCCUCAACAUGGCUGUCCACUCCCACCUUCUUUCUGCUUCUCUACAAUGCUAACCACGGCUGACAUAUUUAUUAUAUCUGCCUAACUCUCUCACUAGGAAAUAGAUCCAUGGAGGUAAGAAUAUUUGAACAUUGUAUCUUCAGAAGACAUUUAUAACAGAGCCCCUGCUAAAUGUGGUCUAGAUAAUUGUUGAAUCGGAUAAAAAGCAUCUUAGGCACAAGUGAGAUAAAUGACGUAUUUUUAUCCCGUCUGAGAAAUACAAGCACUGAUUUAUGGGUGCCAAUGGUGGGACAUACAACAUUUCAAAACUGGAAAGGUCUGCAGGGCUCAUUUAGAGUCACCUGAUUUUCAGAACAAGUCAUUUUGGUAGUAUAAAACUGGUGGCAGAACCAGAACUAAAAUUCUUUAUCUGGGAAUCGUCUCAACUUAUUUCCCAAUCACUUAGUAUGAGUGCAUCUAGGGCUGUCUUUUCCCACUCAGCUUUCUGUCAAACCCACCACCAGGCUGCUGUGUUCUUUGUUCCCACUUAGGCUGCAUUCUGGCUGGCCAGCUAUGGGGCUUUAACUUCCCCUGUUGUUUAAGGGGAAAGGUAUGUGGUGGGGAAGGGAAUUAGCUAGCCGCGGCUUUUGAAGCAGUCUGGAGUCUGCCUCUUUAAUGGCUUCCUUUAAGCAUUUGUUUCUAAAGCCAGGUCAUCAAAGACAAGCACCAUCUGCAAUUUCCCAGCUCUUCAUCUAGUUGGGAAAGCCUGGUGCACACCCUCAAGACACCAUUUGGUACCUUCACUGGGUUCAGAUAAGCAGGAAGUGGCCUCUUGGGAAGAAAAACAAGCAAAUCUGCAGAUGAUGUGCUCAGGGUUUACAUUUUGCUUAUUGAUUAAAAGUAGUUUUAUUAUUAAGUUCCAAAGAGUGACAAGGACAAUUAUAGAUAAAUAAAGAAACACUUUCAUUUUUUAAAAAAAUUAUCAACACAUUAAUAGUACAUAAAAAUGGUUUUCCAUUAUGAUCAAUAGCUAUAAAUAGAGAUUAUUCCCUCUUUCAUUUUGAGACAAGGUCUUAUGUAUCCCAGGCUGACUUUGAACUUCAGAUCCUUCUGCCCCUACAUCUCAAAUGCUGGGAUUACAGGCGUUUGAUUAUGUGUGGCUCAGGAGGGAGCCGGGGCUUCUGCAAGCUAAGCAGUCACCUUAGCCACAUCCCCAACCCUUGAUUGAGAUUUUUUUUAUAGGAUUAAAUUUAACUUCAACAGUAAAUGACUGCUCCCCAGGAAGACUCAAAGAUAAACCAGGCAACUAAACUCUAAAUGUUCACCAUCUGAUUUUUCUUUCGUCUCUAUGGAUUCACCUAGCAAUUAAACAAUCAAUAGUUGUCCUGUAAGUGGUGAGUGAACCCAUGCAUUCUAUGACCUGGAAAACCUACCAUUACAUGAGUGGAAGUGUGAAAUGAUUUGGAAAUGAUCGGGGCCAUCAAGUGCACACUCAUGGGCGGGUAAGGAUGCUUCCUCCCUUUGACACAUUUGGGGAGGUCCCGCUCUGGGAAUGCUUGGUAAAUCUUCAGGCUGGGACUUGGCUCCACAUGCAGGACAUUCUACAUGGGAUCUGGGGACGUCUGCAGUAGCGACUUCUUCCAGGUUGUGAGACACUAAGAUCUGCUCAGUACAAAUUCUAUCACUGGCGACUGGGAAAGAUCUUUCAAAAGCACCCUUGAAUACAUUCUCUUCCUGAAACACAUCUAUGCAGAGAUUACUAGCCCUGUUUUAAAGACAAGGCCAUGGACGCUCAGGCCGGAGGACAACGUUUGAGGAUUGGUUCUCUUGCUCCACUGUCGGAUCCUGUGAUCACACUCAGGUUUGUCACACGUUAUACUUACACACUCACUGGCCUGGUGUCUGUUUUAAAAAAAAUGUUUAAAAACAUUUGUGUGUGUAAAUGAGUGUGUGCACAUGUCUUUGUGGGUAUUCUGUGCAUGUAUGUGUGUAUGCAUAUGUGUGUGCGUAGGUCAGAGUGCAACCUCAAAUGUUAUUUCCUCAAAUGGAACCAUCCUCCUUGUGUUUGAGCCAAGAUCUCUCUUCCUGGCCUGGAACUUGCCAAGUGGGCCAAUCUGGCUGGCCAGCCAGUGCCAGGGAGCUGCCUGUUUCUGCCUCCCCAGAGAGGGCAUCAUGAGGAAAACCUAAGUGUUGCGGCAUCUGAAGCUGAAACGGUGUGACUGGACCACUCCGUGCGAUGUUUGGAGGAAGUGGAGAUGGUCCAAGGUGCUAUUGUGUCGAGUUGGCACCUUCAGAUCAAACACAGUUGGCUGUUAGGCCUGUCACUCUCUGAUGUGGUUGUUAAACAAAGGUGGCAGAGGUCUUCGCUGUGUUUUACUCUUUUUCUUGCUUAAAAACAGAAAGCCUUGAGCUUCAGUUGUGACAUGGGGUCUCCCUUACCUAUUUGUGGGUUUUCUUAAUGCUCUUAAAGUGAACUUCUCAGGCAGAUGGGGGUGAGCAUAGUUCCCCAAAUCUCUAAAGAGAGAUAUGACAGAGCUCAGCUGAGACAAGCCAGACACCUGCUUGUGCCCGUUUAGUGUUUGGCUUUGGCUUGUCUCCCAUGCUCAGAAGCCCGGCUUUCAUCUUCUCACCGAGCACAACAUCUGUUUGGACCAGAAGACUGGAAGACUAAUGGCACCAAGACGGAGACUCUCCCUCUCAGGCGCAUUUCCUUCUUCGGCUGCAAAUGAAGCAGAGCAGAGGGGCCUCAACAGAAAGGACUGUGCUGGGGAGAAACACAAAUGUCGUGUUUGCCGCUCAGGGGCAAGAAAACAGCAUGGGAAAGGCGAACUAAAUGCUGUCUGACCUGGCUGUGGGCAGAGGUGCUCUUUCCCUGUGGGGGACUCUCUCAAGACUGUUAGAGCUGAGAAUCAGGGUCAGUGCGCCUUGACUUUAUCCCCAGAGGAUGGAAUCCUGGUAACAGAUCUUUGGAGAAGAACCUUCCCCAUGGUCCAUUUACUGGAAUAAAA